CUUCAGUUCCCAGGAGACCCUGCUUGACAGGCGUGGGAGGAAGCCAUCUGCUGUGGAGGCAGGGGUCGGACGCAUGACUUCCGGAGGUGUUGGGCAACCUCAGCUGGGGAGACCUUAGCCACCCUCAGGAAACAAAUGUUCAGUCCAAGCAAAGGCCCGGCCCAGAGUGGUCACUGGCUUAAUUCUUGUCCUUGCCCUGUAGUUCUGCUACUGCUGGCCUAUGAAGAUGAAGGUCAAUGAAGAAGCGUCAGGCCCCCACCUGCAGGCCAGGGCUAGUGCAGCAGUGCCGGGGCCGAGAAAAAGCCAGAACUUUGUUCUGUGCAUCUGCACCCGAACAUAAGUGCAUACGGCGAUGUAGAAUUGGUUUUAUUUUUAACAAAUGGGGCUCUACUGUAUAUGCAUGCACGUUUUACUUUUUAACCUUAACAGUAGACGUGUGGCAUCUUUCCUUUCUGCAUGUGUUGAUCCAUCUUAGUCUUUGGAACAGUCGCAAUGGAUCCCAUAGUAUGGGAUAGUUUAUUAAACCAGUCCCCUGCUGAUGGCCAUUUAGGUCGUGUACAAUUUGCCCCUCUUAUAUGCACUACAAUUUUACAUAUAUCAUUGUGCAUGUGUGAGUACUUCUGUAGGAUAACCCAGAAGAGGAAUGCUGGAUUAAAUAGUUAUAUUUUAUCUCAGUAUAACCCUGUCCCCCUAACUAGACUGUAAGCUCUGGGCGGAGAGUCAGCGUCCUGCAGCCCUGGGAGGGGAGAGGGCAGACAAGGAAGAGAUCAAGGAGGUGAAAGCUUCUUGUGGAAACCUUCUGACUUGCAGGUGGGAGGAUGUUUAUCUUCCACCAGGUUCUCCUGGGGAAAAACAUCUCCAACACCAGUUCUGGCCUUCUGAGGACACAGGGCACUGAAUCAAGACCCAUCUUUCUGGACCUCUGGAUCAGGCCCACAUUUGGCACAGUGCAGGGGAAUCCUGGCUUGGCUGAGCCAAAGCAGGAGCCGGCCUCCCUCCUCACGUGGAGCUGGGACAGGAUCACAAGCAGGAUGUUUGGGUGGCACCUCCACCCUUCCCUCUGUGUGGCCCCUGGGACCUGCAUUGCCUCCAGCCUGGGGCCCUCUCCCUCCCCUGUUUGCCUGCUAGAGCCCAGGGUCUCAGCUCCCUUCACCAGGGCUGCACACCUCCAGAAAGCACACCUGGGCGUGGUAGGGCCCGCAGUCCAGAGAACUUUCGAAGUGCAAAGCCCACCGGCGGCACCUGGAAAGGGGCGGGUGGAGUGCAGGCCAGAAGCUGGGGAUUUUUCCUUAAUAACAACCUGGCGCCCUAAUUCAUUGGCGGCUCUGCCUGCCUGCAAGCUGGCUUGCACCCCCUCUCCCCUCCUGGAGAAGCCUUCAUCUUCAAAGCUUUUUGGGAAACAGUUAAUUAACCCCCACAGCCCUACCACCUGCCCAGAAGGCUGCUGGUUCCCUCUUCUCCAUGGGGCGGGGAAAGGGGAGGGCCAGGGAAACUGAAGCCUGAAGAAAGAGUGUGUGGCUGGGACCUGAGAGAUCGCAGGAUCCCAGACAAGGAAGCUGCCUUCCCUUUCAAUCCCCCCCAGCCCCACCCCUCAAAGGGCUGGUGGGACCCCCAGAGGCCAAGCCACACAGCCAAAGUGCUAAGGGUUGAGGAGCUUAUCUUGCAACACAGUUUAUUUUGGAGCCAAUAAAUUUUCUUGGGGCUCACACAUUUUCACAGGCCCCCGAAAAGCCUGGAGGCCCUGGGUACUGCACCGACAGUGCACGUGGAGGAAAUGGCCC
Molecule: long non-coding RNA, 1781 nt
Filed under: Equus caballus (horse)
Lineage: Eukaryota; Metazoa; Chordata; Mammalia; Perissodactyla; Equidae
Description: lncRNA (ENSECAG00000050300.1)
Source: RNAcentral